RNAcentral lists this ribosomal RNA (496 nucleotides) under uncultured bacterium. RNAcentral describes it as "partial 16S ribosomal RNA". It matches the Rfam family "Bacterial small subunit ribosomal RNA", at positions 30 to 523 of the family's 1533-position model. The record is from RNAcentral.
AUUGAACGCUGGCGGAAUGCUUUACACAUGCAAGUCGAACGGUAGAGGGGGCAACCCCUCGAGAGUGGCGAACGGGUGAGUAAUAUAUCGGAACGUGCCCAGUCGUGGGGGAUAACGUAGCGAAAGGUACGCUAAUACCGCAUACGAUCUAAGGAUGAAAGCGGGGGAUCGCAAGACCUCGCGCGAUUGGAGCGGCCGAUAUCAGAUGAGGUAGUUGGUGGGGUAAAGGCUCACCAAGCCAAUGAUCUGUAGCUGGUCUGAGAGGACGACCAGCCACACUGGAACUGAGACACGGUCCAGACUCCUACGGGAGGCAGCAGUGGGGAAUUUUGGACAAUGGACGCAAGUCUGAUCCAGCCAUUCCGCGUGCAGGAUGAAGGCACUCGGGUUGUAAACUGCUUUUGUACGGAACGAAAAGGUCUCUCUUAAUACGGGGGGCUCAUGACGGUACCGUAAGAAUAAGCACCGGCUAACUACGUGCCAGCCGCCGCAGUAA